This is a transfer RNA of Neotoma lepida (desert woodrat), 58 nucleotides long. It matches the Rfam family "tRNA", at positions 8 to 63 of the family's 71-position model. From Rfam's summary of the family: Transfer RNA (tRNA) molecules are approximately 80 nucleotides in length. Their secondary structure includes four short double-helical elements and three loops (D, anti-codon, and T loops). The record is from Rfam. NCBI's taxonomy places the organism in Eukaryota, Metazoa, Chordata, Mammalia, Rodentia, Cricetidae.
UGGCUCAGUGGUUAAGAGCACUGGCUGCUCUUUCAGAGGACCUGGGUUCAAUUCCCAG